This 467-nucleotide ribosomal RNA is filed under the name uncultured bacterium. RNAcentral describes it as "partial 16S ribosomal RNA". It matches the Rfam family "Bacterial small subunit ribosomal RNA", at positions 28 to 507 of the family's 1533-position model. The record is from RNAcentral.
GACGAACGCUGGCGGCGUGCUUAACACAUGCAAGUCGAACGGAAAGGCCCUGCUUUUGUGGGGUGCUCGAGUGGCGAACGGGUGAGUAACACGUGAGUAACCUGCCCUUGACUUUGGGAUAACUUCAGGAAACUGGGGCUAAUACCGGAUAGGAGCUCCUGCUGCAUGGUGGGGGUUGGAAAGUUCGGCGGUUGGGGAUGGACUCGCGGCUUAUCAGCUUGUUGGUGGGGUAGUGGCUUACCAAGGCUUUGACGGGUAGCCGGCCUGAGAGGGUGACUGGCCACAUUGGGACUGAGAUACGGCCCAGACUCCUACGGGAGGCAGCAGUGGGGAAUAUUGCACAAUGGGCGGAAGCCUGAUGCAGCAACGCCGCGUGCGGGAUGACGGCCUUCGGGUUGUAAACCGCUUUCGCCUGUGACGAAGCGUGAGUGACGGUAAUGGGUAAAGAAGCACCGGCUAACUACGUG